ACGGUGCUUUUGCCGACGGCUCGGGAUGGCGCGGUGUCUACAACGAACUGACCGGGCGCGGCUACCGCGUCACGGUGGUUCAGAACCCGCUGACGUCGUU
RNAcentral lists this transfer RNA (100 nucleotides) under compost metagenome. Its description in RNAcentral is "tRNA-Cys". The record is from RNAcentral.